GAUGAACGCGUAGCGAUAGGCUUAACACAUGCAAGUCGAGGGGCGAGCAUGGUCUUAGCUUGCUAAGGCUGAUGGCGACCGGCGUAAGGGUGCGUAACGCGUAUGUAACUUGCCUUUGAGAGGGGGAUAACCCGGAGAAAUCCGGCCUAAUACCGCGUAUUCUCAAGUUGUUACAUGGCAUCAUGUAGGAAUGAAAGGAUAAGAUUGCUAGAGGAGAGCUUUGCAUCCUAUUAGCUAGUCGGUAAGGUAGCGGCUUACCAAGGCGAUGAUAGGUAGCCGGCCUGAGAGGGUGGACGGCCACAAGGGGACUGAGAUACGGCCCUU
Molecule: ribosomal RNA, 324 nt
Filed under: uncultured bacterium
Lineage: Bacteria
Description: bacterial SSU rRNA
Rfam family: Bacterial small subunit ribosomal RNA
Source: RNAcentral